This 299-nucleotide unclassified non-coding RNA is filed under the name Hevea brasiliensis (rubber tree). Lineage: Eukaryota; Viridiplantae; Streptophyta; Magnoliopsida; Malpighiales; Euphorbiaceae. The record is from RNAcentral.
ACCUGUUAUCUACAUCAAUGGAAAACCAUUUGUACUCCGCGAAGUUGAAAGGCCCUAUAAAAAUAUGCUUGAAUACACGGGGAUUGAUCGUGAACGAGUGGAAAAAAUGGAAGCUAGAUUAAAGGAUGACAUUAUGCGAGAAGCUGAGCGUUAUCAAGGAGCAAUAAUGGUUAUUCAUGAAACUGAUGACGGUCAAAUAUUUGAUGCUUGGGAACAUGUGAGCUCUGAUGCAGUUCAAACUCCUGUGGAGGUCUUUAAGUGCUUGGAGGCUGAUGGUUUUCCUAUAAAGUAUGCUCGUG